This 350-nucleotide transfer-messenger RNA is filed under the name Ruminococcus sp. It matches the Rfam family "transfer-messenger RNA". From Rfam's summary of the family: Bacterial tmRNA, also known as 10Sa RNA or SsrA, is named for its dual tRNA and mRNA-like properties. Its role is to liberate the mRNA from a stalled ribosome. RNAcentral also lists the same sequence under 1 other name. Lineage: Bacteria; Bacillati; Bacillota; Clostridia; Eubacteriales; Oscillospiraceae. The record is from RNAcentral.
GGGGGCGUAAAGGUUUCGACGGGGAUUUUGAACCAUAAUAAGCGGGCAGAGACGCACGACCUCUUUAAAAUGUGCACGUUUAAAUAUAAACGCUAAUAACAAAACAGAACUUCUGGCUGCUUAAUUAAGCCAGCGUCCUGCUGUUGACUACCACGACUUCAGCGAGGGCGUCGAUUAGUGGUGAACGCCGAUGGGGAGUACUCCUGCCUCAUCGAUGUAUAGGGAGUUACUGAAGCGUACAGCCUGUUUAUCGGCGGUACGCAGAGGGAAUGUCAAAGGAUAAACUACGCUCGUAGAAAGUUAUGCGGAUAGGUUUUCGGACACGGGUUCGACUCCCGUCGCCUCCACCA